UGGUUUUUUGCAUUCAAAGGGGAUAUCAGUCAGAAAGGUUUUAAGGCUGUCUAUGAAAUCCGCAUAGGUGGUAACUUGUGUUUCACAGUCCAUUUCCUGAAGGGAAUGGAAAAAAAAUAAACAGCUCUUGAGUCCAGGGCUUCUUUGCUGUCUCCCCAGAACCUAGAAACUAUGCUAAGCCCAUAUAGUCAGACUGCUACAUCCUAGCAAGGGUGCUGCCAAGUCCCUCAUAGUCCCCCGAGGAAACAUCAGUCUCCAUCGUCCUGGAUGCAGAACUGCAGACUCAGACCAGUCUUCAGACCUGGCCACUGUGCUUAAAACUAGUUUCCUUCUCUGUGCCCAACCUUCAUCUUCAUGAGGGGAUGGAGACCUCUGCAGGUCACUGCGGAGAUGCCUGGAGACACCCAGAGGUGCUUCUUAAAUAUUAGCCAAGAGCUAAGUGUAUGAAGGUUUUCUGCUUGGGUUUUCAGUUUGGACUAGUUGGGAGGCCUCCAUUCCAGCCUCAGUUUCCCCAAUGGUCAAAGAAAGA
Molecule: long non-coding RNA, 529 nt
Filed under: Mus caroli (Ryukyu mouse)
Lineage: Eukaryota; Metazoa; Chordata; Mammalia; Rodentia; Muridae
Description: lncRNA (MGP_CAROLIEiJ_G0002607.1)
Source: RNAcentral